AGUCUCACUCUGUUGUCCAGGCUGGAGUAUAGUGGCAUGAUCUCAGCUCACUGCAUCCUCUGCCUCUCGGGUUCAAGGAAUUCUCCUGCCUCAUCCUCCACGUAGCUGGGAUUACAGAUAAACUCAGAUCCCUCUACUUUCCAAGUGUGAGAAGAUUUUGUUCUACAGUCGCUUCUGUGAGAUCACCACAGCCCUGGCAAACCAAGAGGGAGGAACCUUGUGCCUUUGAAGUGUGAUUCACAGUGCUUGAUAAAGUGCCAGUAUUCUCUAAAUUUUAGGUUCACAGCAAAUUGGAUGGAAGUUACAGAAAUUCUUCUAUUUUUAAUUUUAAACUAACAUACGACAAAAGGAUUUCCUGAUUUAUCCACCAUUUCAAAAAAAGGUCCUAAGAAAAUGAAGGAGCCUCUUCCUGUACUCAUGGUACAUAAGGUAUUUCAGUAUUGUACACAUAAAUAGCAUACAUCUUCUACCACGAGCCGAGAAUUCCUUGGCAAAUCCUCCUCAUUGAUAAUAAUUUUGAUUAUGUCCUUAGGUCGUGUGCUAAAUAUUUUUCACAUCUUAUCACAUUUCAGCCUUGCAGUAAUCCUAAAGGUAGGAUCAUAAGCCCCAUUUUACAGGUGAGAAAUGAGACAGUUUUUGCUUGCCCAAAUUUAUACACACAUGUAUCUCUUUGACUCCCGAGCCUGCGUCCUUCUCUAUAUAUCAUAUAGACGUCAACAAUAGUUGUUUUCCUCAAGGGAGUAGUCUCCUCAGAAAUUGAAAUCAUUGGUGCCAUAAGCAAUACCGAAACGGGAAAGGUUCCCUUGUCCUCCCUUGCAGGACGUGUGAUGGGGUAGUGGUUGGCUUCUUCAGUGCCCUGCUGGUGAAACCUCUAGGGGAGUGUACAGAUGGGCAGGCUGUGGGGCUCCGAUCCCAGGGCAGUGUCUAGGGAUGAAUGUUCACAGCUCCUCAAGCCCCAGUGGGCGAGUGCUACCAUGUGCUCUUUUAGUUUAGCUGUCUACAGGCGACUUGUGUUAAGCAGCUCAGUUAGACCCUCUACCUUGUCACAAGGACAGAGGGCUCUCUUUAUCCCAGAGUUCUUGCCUUGGUGUACUGGAAGAAUUGGUUGACACCUGGGUUUGGAGAAUGAGUGCAAGGUUUUAUUGAGUGGAGGUAGCUCUCAGCAGAUGGGGGAAGGUGGAAGGGGAUGGAGUGGGAAGGUUUUCCCCUGGAAUCGGGCUGCUCAGUGGCCCGAGCUCUCUUCUGACUGCCCCGCCCAACUCUGCUUCAUUCCCCGGGUGGAUGGCUUACCCGCGUGCCGGUGUCUGUCUGGGCGUUCCUCUUGACAUUCAGCCACCCACGUGUUCCUCCACUGAUGCGCUCCUCUAUACGUCCAGCCACCUGUGUGUCUGCCGGCUAGGGUCUCCGAGCUUUUAUAGGCCCAGGAUGGGGGCGUGGCAGGCCAGUGUAGCCUUGGGAAAUGCAACGUUUGGGCAGGAAAAUAAAAUUGCCUGUCUUCACCUAGGUCCGUGGGCAUAGGCCCCCGGGUUGGAGCCCUAGGCAGGGACCACGCCCUCCUCUACCCGGACUUCCCUGGCUUAUCAUUUAAAGGGACCCGCCGUAUCAUUUAAAGGGACCACACCCUGCCCUUCCCAGCACUUCCCUUCUAUAUCAAUACCUACCCACUGCAGCAUCCUUUUAUCUCUAACUUCACUGUGAGGUGGCUACUGUGGGACGUUGAAAACUUUUGGCUGGAGUGGCCAUUUUGUCUUUUGGCCAUGCUUGAGAUCUUUUUCAAAGACUCAGAAAAGUAUCCGUUCCUUCUAAAACAUUGUCGUCUAUUCCUGAUUCAUGCCAGAGAAACAGAAUUUCCAAACAGACAAGUAAAAAAGUACAUUGGAAUGACUUCAUGCCUGGGUUCCUGAUUGUUCUCGCAGAUGACAUCCUACGACUGUCUCACCACACAUUAUUUUUUGACUCAUUUUCUCUAACCUAAGUAUCUCCGGCAACCAAAUUUUAGUAACUUCCCCAAGGCAACCUGAGGUUUGGAAACCAAGGGGGCCGUUGCAAGUCUUUUGUGGACUGAGGCAUGCAACCACAGAGCUAAGGUCAGACCCCAUUAAGAUGAGGGGAGGGGUCGAGAGAGAGGAGGAGUGGAGAGAGCUUCGUGCCUUUCCAUUGUACUGGAAUUUAACUGGAAUGACUGAAGGCAAUUUCUUUUUAAAAUCCUUCCCCCCGUCACCUCAUUAACACCUCCAAUGAAAGGCAGCUGUGAGACUGUUAACUCUUUGCUUGCACAUUCUUGAAAGUGCUAUUGGCUGGGAUCUCUGGUCCUUGUGAGAAGAUACCCUGCUGUCACCAAUCUGGGCAUCUGUAGCUUGAAAUCAGGGUUUUUCCAAGAUUCAUAUUUAUACCCCAAUAGUGUGCCAUUCUAUAGAGUGAGACGUGCAUUUCUGCCAGGUUUCGCAUAUUUUGAGCUACUACUCCAUAAGCUGCAGUAUGUUGGGUUUUUUGGAACUUGGCUGCCUCAAAUUCUUUUUGGAAAUAAAAUGAGAGCGUAUGUGAACAUUC
Pan troglodytes (chimpanzee) is the source of this 2550-nucleotide long non-coding RNA. RefSeq lists it as uncharacterized. The transcript has 4 exons. The record is from RefSeq and is a predicted model, not a curated record. Lineage: Eukaryota; Metazoa; Chordata; Mammalia; Primates; Hominidae.